CUAAUACGCUUGAUCCACAGUUGA
Molecule: non-coding RNA, 24 nt
Filed under: Arabidopsis thaliana (thale cress)
Lineage: Eukaryota; Viridiplantae; Streptophyta; Magnoliopsida; Brassicales; Brassicaceae
Source: RNAcentral